GCCNUGCCGCGUGCGGGAAGAAGGCCUUCGGGUUGUAAACCGCUUUUGUCAGGGAAGAAAUCUUCUGGGCUAAUACCCUGGGAGGAUGACGGUACCUGAAGAAUAAGCACCGGCUAACUACGUGCCAGCAGCCGCGGUAAUACGUAGGGUGCAAGCGUUAAUCGGAAUUACUGGGCGUAAAGCGUGCGCAGGCGGUUAUAUAAGACAGAUGUGAAAUCCCCGGGCUCAACCUGGGAACUGCAUUUGUGACUGUAUGGCUAGAGUACGGUAGAGGGGGAUGGAAUUCCGCGUGUAGCAGUGAAAUGCGUAGAUAUGCGGAGGAACACCGAUGGCGAAGGCAGUCCCCUGGACCUGUACUGACGCUCAUGCACGAAAGCGUGGGGAGCAAACAGGAUUAGAUACCCUGGUAGUCCACGCCCUAAACGAUGUCAACUGGUUGUUGGGAGGGUUUCUUCUCAGUAACGUAGCUAACGCG
Molecule: ribosomal RNA, 475 nt
Filed under: Leptothrix sp. (in: b-proteobacteria)
Lineage: Bacteria; Pseudomonadati; Pseudomonadota; Betaproteobacteria; Burkholderiales; Sphaerotilaceae
Description: bacterial SSU rRNA
Rfam family: Bacterial small subunit ribosomal RNA
Source: RNAcentral